RNAcentral lists this ribosomal RNA (318 nucleotides) under uncultured eukaryote. RNAcentral describes it as "partial 18S ribosomal RNA". It matches the Rfam family "Eukaryotic small subunit ribosomal RNA", at positions 1470 to 1796 of the family's 1831-position model. The record is from RNAcentral.
CCCCUAGAUGUUCUGGGCCGCACGCGCUACACUGAACAGUUCAACAAGUCUUAACCUUGGCCGAUAGGUCUGGGUAAUCUUUGAACGCUGUUCGUGAUUGGGAUAGACCUUUGCAAUUAUGGGUCUUCAACGAGGAAUUCCUAGUAAACGCAAGUCAUCAGCUUGCAUUGAUUACGUCCCUGCCCUUUGUACACACCGCCCGUCGCACCUACCGAUUGAAUGGUCCGGUGAAAUCUCGGGACGGCGGCUUGGUCGCUUGCGUCCGACUGCUGAAACUUGAUUAAACCAUAUCAUUUAGAGGAAGGUGAANUCGUAACA